Molecule: ribosomal RNA, 253 nt
Filed under: uncultured prokaryote
Description: partial 16S ribosomal RNA
Rfam family: Bacterial small subunit ribosomal RNA
Source: RNAcentral
AACGUAGGAGGCGAGCGUUAUCCGGAUUCACUGGGCGUAAAGCGCGUGCAGGCGGUUCGGUAAGUUGGGCGUGAAAUCUCCUGGCUCAACUAGGAGAGGUCGUUCAAUACUACCGGGCUAGAGAGUGGUAGAGGAAGAUGGAAUUCCCGGUGUAGUGGUGAAAUGCGUAGAUAUCGGGAGGAACACCAGUGGCGAAGGCGAUCUUCUGGACCAUUUCUGACGCUCAGACGCGACAGCUAGGGUAGCAAACGGG